This 253-nucleotide ribosomal RNA is filed under the name uncultured bacterium. RNAcentral's name for it is "partial 16S ribosomal RNA". It matches the Rfam family "Bacterial small subunit ribosomal RNA", at positions 524 to 776 of the family's 1533-position model. The record is from RNAcentral.
UACGUAGGGGGCAAGCGUUGUCCGGAUUUAUUGGGCGUAAAGAGCGUGUAGGCGGCCAGACAGGUCCGUUGUGAAAACUCGAGGCUCAACCUCGAGACGCCGAUGGAAACCGUCUGGCUAGAGUCCGGAAGAGGAGAGUGGAAUUCCUGGUGUAGCGGUGAAAUGCGCAGAUAUCAGGAAGAACACCCGUGGCUAAGGCGGCUCUCUAGUACGGUACUGACGCUGAGACGCGAAAGCGUGGGGAGCGAACGGG